RNAcentral lists this ribosomal RNA (425 nucleotides) under uncultured bacterium. Its description in RNAcentral is "partial 16S ribosomal RNA". It matches the Rfam family "Bacterial small subunit ribosomal RNA", at positions 354 to 796 of the family's 1533-position model. The record is from RNAcentral.
GUGGGGAAUCUUAGACAAUGGGCGCAAGCCUGAUCUAGCCAUGCCGCGUGAGCGAUGAAGGCCUUAGGGUUGUAAAGCUCUUUCGCUGGGGAAGAUAAUGACUGUACCCAGUAAAGAAGCCCCGGCUAACUCCGUGCCAGCAGCCGCGGUAAUACGGAGGGGGCUAGCGUUGUUCGGAAUUACUGGGCGUAAAGCGCGCGUAGGCGGACUGAAAAGUUGGGGGUGAAAUCCCGGGGCUCAACCUCGGAACUGCCUUCAAAACUAUCAGUCUGGAGUUCGAGAGAGGUGAGUGGAAUUCCGAGUGUAGAGGUGAAAUUCGUAGAUAUUCGGAGGAACACCAGUGGCGAAGGCGGCUCACUGGCUCGAUACUGACGCUGAGGUGCGAAAGCGUGGGGAGCAAACAGGAUUAGAAACCCGAGUAGUCC